Molecule: ribosomal RNA, 254 nt
Filed under: uncultured bacterium
Lineage: Bacteria
Description: partial 16S ribosomal RNA
Rfam family: Bacterial small subunit ribosomal RNA
Source: RNAcentral
UACGGAGGAUCCAAGCGUUAUCCGGAAUCAUUGGGUUUAAAGGGUCCGUAGGCGGUUUGGUAAGUCAGUGGUGAAAGCCCAUCGCUCAACGGUGGAACGGCCAUUGAUACUGCCAGACUUGAAUUAUUAGGAAGUAACUAGAAUAUGUAGUGUAGCGGUGAAAUGCUUAGAGAUUACAUGGAAUACCAAUUGCGAAGGCAGGUUACUACUAAUGGAAUUGACGCUGAUGGACGAAAGCGUGGGUAGCGAACAGG